This 450-nucleotide ribosomal RNA is filed under the name uncultured bacterium. RNAcentral describes it as "bacterial SSU rRNA". It matches the Rfam family "Bacterial small subunit ribosomal RNA", at positions 354 to 796 of the family's 1533-position model. The record is from RNAcentral.
GUGGGGAAUAUUGGACAAUGGGGGCAACCCUGAUCCAGCAAUGCCGCGUGUGUGAAGAAGGCCUGCGGGUUGUAAAGCACUUUCAGUAGGGAAGAAAAGCCUGGGGCUAAUACCUCCGGGUCUUGACGUUACCUAAAGAAGAAGCACCGGCUAACUCCGUGCCAGCAGCCGCGGUAAUACGGAGGGUGCGAGCGUUAAUCGGAAUUACUGGGCGUAAAGCGCACGUAGGCGGUCUGGUAAGUCGGAUGUGAAAGCCCCGGGCUUAACCUGGGAAUUGCAUUCGAUACUGCCUGACUGGAGUAUGGGAGAGGGAAGCGGAAUUUCCGGUGUAGCGGUGAAAUGCGUAGAUAUCGGAAGGAACAUCAAUGGCGAAGGCAGCUUCCUGGCCCAAUACUGACGCUGAGGUGCGAAAGCGUGGGGAUCAAACAGGAUUAGAAACCCCAGUAGUCC